CGCCCAGCAGCUAGCCCCCUCCCCCAAAAACAACAAAAACUUAUUUAUAAACCCAAAAACACUACAAUUAAAAAACAAACCAUUUUACCUCCCUAAGUAUAGGCGAUAGAAAAG
This 114-nucleotide ribosomal RNA is filed under the name Naso minor (slender unicorn). Its description in RNAcentral is "partial 16S ribosomal RNA". The record is from RNAcentral. Lineage: Eukaryota; Metazoa; Chordata; Actinopteri; Acanthuriformes; Acanthuridae.